GGCGGACGGGUGAGUAACGCGUAGGAAUCUACCUAAUAGUGGGGGAUAGCCCAGGGAAACUUGGAUUAAUACCGCAUACGCCCUAAGGGGGAAAGCGGGGGAUCUUCGGACCUCGUGCUAUUAGAUGAGCCUGCGUAAGAUUAGCUAGUUGGUGAGGUAAGAGCUCACCAAGGCGACGAUCUUUAGCUGGUCUGAGAGGAUGAUCAGCCACACUGGGACUGAGACACGGCCCAGACUCCUACGGGAGGCAGCAGUGGGGAAUAUUGGACAAUGGGGGCAACCCUGAUCCAGCCAUGCCGCGUGUGUGAAGAAGGCCUUCGGGUUGUAAAGCACUUUCAGAUGUGAGGAAAGGUUGCAGAUUAAUACUCUGCAGCUGUGACGUUAACAUCAGAAGAAGGACCGGCUAACUCCGUGCCAGCAGCCGCGGUAAUACGGAGGGUCCGAGCGUUAAUCGGAAUUACUGGGCGUAAAGCGCGC
This 477-nucleotide ribosomal RNA is filed under the name uncultured Oceanospirillaceae bacterium. Its description in RNAcentral is "bacterial SSU rRNA". It matches the Rfam family "Bacterial small subunit ribosomal RNA", at positions 97 to 570 of the family's 1533-position model. Lineage: Bacteria; Pseudomonadati; Pseudomonadota; Gammaproteobacteria; Oceanospirillales; Oceanospirillaceae. The record is from RNAcentral.